AUAAAAAACCAAUGCCUUCGGGCUCCUUGGUGAUUCAUGAUAACUUAACGAAUCGCAUGGCCUUGCGCCGGCGAUGGUUCAUUCAAAUUUCUGCCCUAUCAACUUUCGAUGGUAGGAUAGUGGCCUACCAUGGUUUCAACGGGUAACGGGGAAUUAGGGUUCGAUUCCGGAGAGGGAGCCUGAGAAACGGCUACCACACCCAAGGAAGGCAGCAGGCGCGCAAAUUACCCAAUCCCAAUUCGGGGGGGUAGUGACAAUAAAUACUGAUACAGGGCUCUUUUGGGUCUUGUAAUUGGAAUGAGUACAAUUUAAAUCCCUUAACGAGGAACAAUUGGAGGGCAAGUCUGGUGCCAGCAGCCGCGGUAAUUCCAGCUCCAAUAGCGUAUAUUAAAGUUGUUGCAGUUAAAAAGCUCGUAGUUGAACCUUGGGUCUGGCUGCCCGGUCCGCCUAACCGCGUGCACUGGUGCGGCCGGAUCUUUCCUUCUGGCUAACCUCAUGCCCUUUACUGGGUGUGCU
This 516-nucleotide ribosomal RNA is filed under the name uncultured fungus. RNAcentral's name for it is "SSU rRNA". It matches the Rfam family "Eukaryotic small subunit ribosomal RNA", at positions 214 to 732 of the family's 1831-position model. The record is from RNAcentral. Lineage: Eukaryota; Fungi.